UGGAAUUAUUUAUUGAUCCAUUUGACCCAAAGGGUUCAUGAGGAGCUGAAUUACCUCCUUCAGCUGUGACCAAGUGGCCUAUUAGAAGCAGCUUCUAUGAAAGACAGCUGCCUAAGCAGCCUGCUUAGGUAUGGUUUCAGAAAGAAGUUAUGGACAAAGCAAUAUUGGGAGAACAAUUGCUGAGCAGAGAAGACAGGAAGCAGACCUUGGAAAUGGGAAAGGACAGGAACAGAGCUGGUGCAGAAGGAAGCCUCAUCUCCAUCAAGUCAUCUGGCCGGGGAGAGCUGGCCAAGCAGCAUGGAAAAAUGUCACAUCGCCUUAAGGAACCAAGUUGCAUUUUGCACUGGUGUCACAACACAAAAUGAAGAUCAAAAGCAAACCAUCCGUGUGUGUGUGUGGAAGCUACGCACUGGAGUAUUUUUUUUGUGGCUAGCCACCA
Long non-coding RNA from Alligator sinensis (Chinese alligator), 439 nucleotides. RefSeq lists it as uncharacterized. NCBI's taxonomy places the organism in Eukaryota, Metazoa, Chordata, Crocodylia, Alligatoridae. The record is from RefSeq and is a predicted model, not a curated record. The transcript is spliced from 3 exons.